GUACAUACUACAGUAGUAGAACAUAUGUCAUUCUAACUUAUUGAGAAAUUGUCAUAUAAUCAGGCAAGUCUAUAUUUAAUUUUGAUUUAUUGUGUAUGAAAAUAAUGUUACUUUUGAGUUGGUCCAAACUGUAUACAUGUAGUAUAUCGUGUCUUUGUUUUUGCAGCAAUAUCUAGAAUCAUUUUGCAUAUCUGACAUGUAGAAUCAAUGGGCAAAGAUGCGUAAUCUACAUUAAAUUGAUUAUAAUUUUAAUUUUAACUAAAAUAUUUAAUAUUUUAAAUUUCUUGAUUCGAGUGACACGUCCAAAUGGUUUAUAAAUAAAUUACGCGUCCAGCGUACAUCAUGUUAAGCCUGGUAUCAUUGAUGAGGCCUCCUUGCAUAUUACUAAGCAAAACGUUAUGACGUCCGUACGGUGUUGGUGAUAAUACGUUUUUUGCUUUCCAGUUCGCCUUUAUUGCAUUUGUUAGAAGUUUUGGAAUUGAUAACUAUAUAAAUGUAUAUAUCAAAAUGUGCGUAAUUAAAAGUAGAAAUGGAAUAUGCCUUAAAGUCAAUACUUUUAUUCAUUUUGUUACUCGAAUGAUCCCUAAUAACACUGAUUUUGAGCGUGUAGACAAGUAACACCGCGAGAUAUGAUCAGCGUUGCUUUGAAGUUAUUCUUGUCAUUUUUUAAACUUACUAAAAACAAGUUGUACUCCUAGCAAGAGUAGUCUUUGGUGUUAAUGGUGUAUGUUUUAUUUAUGACGUCAUCGUUAACUGGACGCGUCUGACCAGGACGAAAAGUUCACUUUGUUUUGUGGUCAAGCCGAAAAUAGAAAAAAAAUAUGGAUAGGGGUGAAGUUAAGAGUGAUUUUAAAAGGUAAUUCAAAAAGAAUAUUCCGAAAAUGAUAUAUCUUUUUAUUCCGUAUAUAAUAAGGAAAAAAAAUAAAAAGUUUUGUUACAACAUUUCAAAAGAUCGUGGCAGAAUUAAUGAUUUUUUCAAAUUUGUAUUUCUGUCACAAAACCCAAAUCUCGCAUAUUUUUUGGAGCUCUUCAAAAUUCGAACGAAUGCUGCAGUUACAAACCACAAUUUACAUAUCCACCCUUCCUGUGUCAAAAUUAUACAAUAAAUAUACAACUUUCUAUGUCUUCAAUUAGUAAGUAUUGUUUAAAUUAUGUCCUAAAUUGUUCAUUUUAUUAAAUCCGUUGAAAUGUCACACUCGCCGUUUUCUGACGUUUUGGCGUAUUUGUUAAGUGUCUUAUGAAAAGUAAUAGGCAGUUGCAGUCUUUUCUACGAUAUGAAAUUUUAUUGAAACGUCAAAAAAAAUUUUUUUAAGUGUAUGACAAAAAUUUGCGUCGAAGAUUUAAGAGAAAAUAUUGAAAAAAUAUUAAACGCGAUCUUUUUGUUUUUGUCUAGUCAAAAUGUACAAACGUCGUUUUUUUACAUUUUGUUACAAGUAUGAUAAGUCAUAUUAUCAGUUUGGAGGGGGAAAUUUGAAAUUAUAAUAGCACAAAAAACUAUUAUUAAAAUCUACUGUUCAGGGAAUUUUGAACCCAUUUUCGAUCACAUGUCGGAAGUAUUAACGACACAGUCAGCGAUACUUUGUCUAGUCAUAAUGCCACACCAUGCUUUUUUACUUGCUUGACGUUACGUUCUGUAAAACUUGACAUGAAGUGCCUAACGUCGCAAUUACGAAUCUUUACGUGCCAUGCUAAUUAUUUUUUUUUAAUUUGAUAUAACGAAUUAUGAAUUUCAUAUAACAGAUUAUGAAUUUGAUACAACAAAUUAUGAAUUUGAUAUAACAAAUUAUGAAUUGGAUAUAACAAAUUGUCAAUUUAUAACAAAUUCAAUUUGAUAUAACAAAUUUGAAUUUCUACAAUAGUUGAUUUAAAUAUAAUAAUAAGAUUGAUUGAAACAUUUCGUAACCCAAAUUGGCGCAUUUUUUUGUGUAUUGAUUCAUUAUUUAUCUGACGUCCAGCGACAAAUAUGUCAUUGAUGUAUUCAAACUUUCUUUACAGUUUAAUGUUCUGAAACCCUCUCCCUCUCCUUUUAUCUAUUAUUUGAGGCAGUUUGGGGACUAGUUUGAACGUUCUCUAUUCAGUACACGGACUGGUGUCUUAGAACGAACGAUUAUAUAGAAAAAGGAUCAUUUUUAUAUUGCACAUUUUCAAAUCAGAAAGAAUGGAUAGUGUGUUUCUAGGGACAUAAGAACAUGCAAGGAUAAAAAAUGCUUCCUUCCAAAAUCCUGGCAUGCUUCUUUAUCAAUUCGAUGAGCACAUACAAGGACUAAUGAAAUCCUUAAGUCAUCUUUGCAUUUUUCUUUAUAUAUGUUUCAAUAUUAUUUUCUACGAUAUGAAAUUUUAUUGAAACGUCAAAAAAAAAUUUUUUAAGUGUAUGACAAAAAAUUGCGUCGAUGAUUUAAGAGAAAAUAUUGAAAAAAUAUUAAACGCGAUCUUUUGUUUUCGUCUAGUCAAAAUGUCACAAAACGUCGUUUUUACAUUUUUGUUACAAGUAUAUAAGUCAUAUUAUACAGUUUUGGAGGGGGGAAAUUUGAAAUUAUAAUAACAAAAUACUAUAAAACAUAAAAUCUACUAAAUAUAAAAUAAGAUUGUUGAAACAUUUCGUAACCAAAUUGGCGCAUUUUUUGUGUAUUCAUUAUUUAUCGACGUCAGCGACAAAUAUUCAUUGAAUGCUUAUCAAACUUUCUUAACAGGUUUAAGUUUCUGAAACCCUCUCCCGUCUCCUUUAUCUAUUAUUUGGGCAGUUUGGGGACUAGUUUGAACGUUCUCUAUUCAGUACACGGACCUGGUGUCUUAGAACGAAACGAUAAAUAAAAAAGGAUCAAUUUAUAUUGCACAUUUUCAAAUCAGAAAGAAUGGAAGUGUGUUUCUAGGGACAUAAGAACAUGCAAGGAUAAAAAAUGCUUCCCUUCCUCAAAAUCCUGGCAUGCUUCUUUAUCAAUUUCGAUGAGCACAUACAAGGACUAAUGAAACACUCCUUAAGUUCAUCCUUGCAUUUUUUUUAUAUAUUGUUUCAAUAUUUAUUUUGUUUGCACACUUUUUAUUAAAACAAGACCCAUGCGCGAGAUUAGAAGAGAAACCAUGCACAAUCGUGAAAGGGAUCUGAUAUAAAAUUUAUAUUUUUUUAUUUAAAAUUAUCAUAAUUUGUUAUAUCAAAUUGAUGAUCUGUUAUAUUACAAUUUAUUUGUUUCAUCAAAUUGAAAAAAAGUAAAUUUGCAUGGCCCUCCAAGACUUCUGUAGCAAAUAUCUUAUCAUGCAAAACCAUAACUUUUUUUAUAAUUUUUUUUUAUACAAUAUCUUAACAGAUUUUUUACCGAUCUAAUUAAAAUUAAUAUCUGUAUCUGUUCGGUGGAGGACUUUUAACGCAUUGUAGGACAUUUAGAGAAAAAAAUCUAACGUUUUUAGCGCCAAAGUAAAGUCCAUUUUAGCCCAAGAUUUUUAACCCAUUCGAGCGAAAAUUGAAAUUAUCAAUGCCCAUUUUAGAGCAAUGCUUUAAUCCAUUUUAUGAUUAAUGAUUAAUGAUCAAUAUUUUUUUAAAUAGAAGCAAGACAGCACAAUUAAAAUAUCAUGUUCAUUAAAAUAUACACUAAAAAUUUUAAAAUCAAAUUUAAGUCCGUUCUAGCCUGGAAUUUAUAUUCCAGAGAACGUACGUAAUGCUCUGGGAUACCCCCUGUACAAUACUGUUCAUAAAGUUGCAGUAGAACUGAUUUUUAUCUUUAUCUUGUCUAGAUGGGGGGCACAUUUGUCUAUAAUACAUUGUAUUUUUAUAUAUGUUGUUGUUUGCAAUUUGAUGAUAGUAUCAAGAAAAACGUAAAUAUAGCUGAGUGAAAACUAUAGAAUUACUUUUAUUUCCAUGAUAAACCAAAGUGAACAUAUAUAUAUACAUACAACUUUAAAUUAAGCCAGCAUAAAUUAAUGCUCGGUUUUAGUAUUAUCAAUAGGAAAGUUUCGCUAAAAUGGGCUAAUCAAUACAGCUAAAACAGAUUAAUCCUGCGCUAAAAUGGGCUCUAAUGUCUGAGCUAAAAUGUCCCCUAGUAGUUUUUCGCUGAAAUUAUCUGCGCCCAUCUGUUUUCUUGUUCUUAGUUUAGAUUAAAUUUCCUUUUGUUCAUGGAAUUGGCAAAUUUGAUUAAAUUAAUUUUAUUGUGGUUAAUUUUGAAUUUGCUUUCAACUGUUGAUUCUUAUAACAUUUAAUACAGGCGAUGAAAUAAACGAUUCAACUAAUCAAAUUUUUAUUCGGAAAUUAUCAAAAGCGGAUAAAAGAAUAAGCCCUUGACACCAUUUGCGAGUAUGAUGGUCUUGUGAAACAAUGAUAGUCCGUCGGAAGGGGCGAUAAAUGACUGACCCGUGUUAAGAGAGAGCAACAUCUCUUGCACGUAAAGUAACCCUUUUAGAUUUCGAAAAGAGCAGACUAAGGCUACAAGGAACACUUCGCACCCUCAAGUGGAAACGGAUUAAUAUAAGUUGUAAUAACUUGUUUCCAAUCCAAUUAUAAAUAAAUAUGUUUAAAUUAAAAGAAAAAGCAGCAGAAAAGACAAUGGUUUAAACUUUUUUUAAAUAUCCUGUUUUAAUCAAAAGAAAGAGAAAAUAUCUUUGCUCCAAGGGGAUACUAAUUUAAAUGAAUAUUAUUUUUUUGUUUUAAUUUAACUGUACUUAAAAAAAUAUGUGCCGCUUUUGCAUUUCGAUUUUAUACGCAGCAAGACAAGCAAACCGCUCAUAUAAAUUAUGCUGUAUGAUUGAGCUGCACGAAAUGAAAAAAGUACGACGUUAUUUAUACAAUGCAUGCCUGAAAAUAACGUCAAACUAACGUUACCAAAACUAACACCAACACCGUACGCGACGUCUAUAUAUACUUAAAAAUCAUAACAGGAACACUUAUCUAAACGACCUGGGUUUUGUUUACUUUGACAAAUUCGUCUUAAAGUUUUACUGUGUACAUUAAAAAAUAUAUUUUAUUCACAAUGUAUACUCUUAUGUUGAACACUUUCUUAUUCACUUUAUUUCAAUUACAUUGAGUAGCAACAACAAAACACACAUAUGAAACUAAUAAGCGAAUGAUUAUCAAAUCUUUUAUAUAGAUCUUAAUUUUAACACUUUAAUCAAUAUAAAUUAAGGAGCUUUCGGAUGCAUGAAAUUUACACUAAGUGUUGUUUCAAUUUUAAAGGUCCCUUUUUUUAUUUCUUAAAUAUUUUUUAGAUUGUGUUUUAAUUGUAGGUAGUUGCUGUCAUGACACUAUCAAUAGGUUUUGCUUUGAUGACUUUAAUGAUUCAUGCAGAAGGUAACAGUGGCGUUGUAUGUCCGACACCGCUAUGUCAAUGUCGGUAUUUACAAGCUAUUUGCUCCGGGGAGAAUCUUACGUACAUUCCUCGCUUACCAGAUAAAAUUCGCUCUGUAACGUUUAUCAAUGGUAAUAUCGGAGUACUUUCACGAAAAAGCAUAAAAAACUUAACUUUUAACCACAUUGAAAAGCUAAAGUUCACAAAUAAUAGGAUUUCUGAAAUUAAGCCAAAUACAUUUACUAACUUCACUUGGA
Molecule: long non-coding RNA, 5527 nt
Filed under: Mytilus galloprovincialis (Mediterranean mussel)
Lineage: Eukaryota; Metazoa; Mollusca; Bivalvia; Mytilida; Mytilidae
Source: RNAcentral